RNAcentral lists this small nuclear RNA (155 nucleotides) under Oncorhynchus tshawytscha (Chinook salmon). Its description in RNAcentral is "U4 spliceosomal RNA". The stretch from base 1 to 136 matches the Rfam family "U4 spliceosomal RNA". Rfam says of the family: U4 small nuclear RNA (U4 snRNA) is a component of the major U2-dependent spliceosome. The structure of U4 snRNA from yeast and human has been reported. U4 snRNA presents a k-turn RNA motif in the 5p-SL related to recognition of Snu13 protein. The record is from Rfam by way of RNAcentral. Lineage: Eukaryota; Metazoa; Chordata; Actinopteri; Salmoniformes; Salmonidae.
UUCUUCGCGAGAGGCGUAUCAUAGCCUAUGAAGUCCAUCUGAGGCGUGAUUAUUGCUGGUUGAAAACUUAAACCAAUACCCCGCUUGGGAUGACUUGAAAUAUAGUCGCCUUGGCAUUUUUGAUAGUCUCAUGUGGAUGCUAUAUGUGAAAGAGA